This 73-nucleotide transfer RNA is filed under the name Anolis carolinensis (green anole). It matches the Rfam family "tRNA". Rfam says of the family: Transfer RNA (tRNA) molecules are approximately 80 nucleotides in length. Their secondary structure includes four short double-helical elements and three loops (D, anti-codon, and T loops). Lineage: Eukaryota; Metazoa; Chordata; Lepidosauria; Squamata; Anolidae. The record is from Rfam by way of RNAcentral.
GGUAAUGUGGUGUAAUGAUUUGAGCGCUAGACUAAGAUUCUGGAAAACCAGGGUUCAAAUCCCCGCUUUGCAA